Long non-coding RNA from Andrographis paniculata, 7241 nucleotides. RefSeq lists it as uncharacterized. The transcript has 8 exons. The record is from RefSeq and is a predicted model, not a curated record. Lineage: Eukaryota; Viridiplantae; Streptophyta; Magnoliopsida; Lamiales; Acanthaceae.
AUAAGUAUGAAUGAAAAAUGUUUGCGAGAGACUCCUCAUCUCUACUCCGUUCUUCGUCGUCGUUCGUCGUCCCCUCAGGGUUUUAAGGUUUGGAGGCGACCAAAUAUUGCGGUUUUAUGCUUUGCUGUCGGUACCUUCUCUCUCUCUCUCUCUCAAGGAUUGAAGUUUGUUGUCAUGCCUCGGCAUUCAAAACUCUGCGGAUAGCCACACUGAUUAACGAGCAAUCGACUGACAAGCAGCAACCGCUAGCUGGUGGUGGCGUUCUACGAGUUUCGCAGUGAAAUUCACCCGAUUUGUUUGUUCUCAGGUUUUGAAGAUCGGAAUGGGGAGGAAAGACCUGUUCUCAAGUUAAUACGGAUUCGACCUGAUAUUCUGGUUUUAUAGUAAUCAGGUUUCUUGUUUUAAAAAAUCUUCUCUAAUUUCUUGAUUGACUAUUGAUUGUUUUUGCCUUUUAACUUCUCUGCAAUUUCCACAGGUUUCUUGUUUUAAAAAAUCUUUUCUAAUUUCUUGAUUCACUAUUGAUUGUUUUUGCCUUUUAACUUCUCUGCAAUUUCCAUGGUUCCUUUUGAAGGGGUUAAAUGCUUUCAAAGUUUGUUUUGAUGAAAGAAUGAACAUGUUCUACUUUAAUUCAUAAUUUUCACAAACUUGUUUUUAAAAAUCUUUCUAAUUUCUUGAUUGACGAUUGAUUGUUUUGGCCUUUUUAACUUCUCUGCAAUUUCCGUGGUUCCUUUUGAAGGGGUUAAAUGCUUUCAAAGUUUGUUUUGACGAAAGAAUGAACAUGUUCUACUUUAAUUCAUAAUUUUCACAAACUUGUUUUUAAAAAUCUUUCUAAUUUCUUGAUUGACGAUUGAUUGUUUUUGCCUUUUAACUUCUCUGCAAUUUCCAUGGUUCCUUUUGAAGGUGUUAAAUGCUUUAAAAAUUUGUUUUGAUGUAAGAAUGAACAUGUUCUACUUUAAUUCAUAAUUUUCACAAACUUGUUUAAAAAAUUUUAAACUAUCCGUUCACCUAUCUUUUCCAAACUAUUCUAUAUUUUUCUUAUAGAUUGAUUUUCACGAAGUUGUUAAAUGACGUUCUGUUGGGUGGGGUCUUUUGAAGGUGUUAAAAUGCUUUUAAAGUUUUUAUCUUGAUGAAAGAAUGAACAUAAUAUUUUUCACAGAAUCUGUUCAAUAAUUUUAAACUAUCCGUUCACCCAUCUCUUCCAAAGUAUUCUAUAUUUUCUUAUUUUUAUUAAUAGGAGACCAAACAACUCAUUUUUCUCUGAAUACAAAAUUCUUUUAAAUCCUAUUUUUAAUCUUCAAUUUUAUUACUUACUUUAUUAUCUUUUGACGUAGUUUACUGUAUUACAUUCCUCUUCUCCUGGGACCAGGAAUAAAAAAUUUAUUCACUUUGGGGCUGGGACUGUGGUUGGGUCUGGUUUUGGGUCCGAUAUUAGGUCUGGUUUGAGAUUGCGUCUCGAUCUGGUUCUGGUUCGAUUUAUGUCUGGAUCCGGGUCUGGGUCUGGGUACGAAUUUGGUGAGGGUCUGCUCCUGGGUUCGGGUCUGAGUUCCGGUCUGGGUUUGGCUUGGAUUGGAUCUGGUUUACUUCUGGGUCUAGAUCUGGGUCGGGUCUGGGCUUGGGCCUGGGUCCGAGUUUGGGUGUGGUCUAUGGCCUGUUCGUGUUUGGGUCUGGCUAAGUCUGGGUCAGGGUCAGGAUCUGGGUCUAGUCUUGUUCUGGAUCUGGUUCGGGUCGGGCUCUAGGCCUGCCUAGCUUUGGUUCUAUUCCUAUUGGUUCCAUUUCAGGAAAUAUGGUUUGCCAUAUUGUGUUGUUACAAUGACACUUUUGAGGGGCAUCUAUAUCUAUAUAUAUAUAUAUAUAUAUAUCUGGUUUUAAUUAUAUAUUUUUCUUAUAGAUUGAUUUUCACGAAGUUGUUAAAUGACGUUCGCUUUUAAAGUUUUAUUUUGAUGAAAGAAUGAGCAUGUUUUUACUUAAUAUAUUUCACAAAAUCUGUUCAAAAAUUUUAAACUAUCCGUUCACCCAUCUCUUCCAAAGUAUUCUAUAUUUUCUUAUUUUUAUUAAUACGAGACCAAACAAUUCAUUUCUCUCUGAACACAAAAUUCUUUCAAAUCCUAUUUUGAAUCUUCAAUUUUAUUACUUACUUUAUUAUAUUUUUGACGUAGUUUUACUGUAUUGCAUUCCUCUUGUCCUGGGACCAGGAAUAAAAAAUAUAUUCACUUUGGGCUGGGACUGUGGUUGGGUUUGGUUUUGGGUCCGAUAUUAGGUCUGGUUUGAGAUUGGGUCUCGAUCUGGUUCUGGUUCGAUUUAUGUCUGGAUCCGGGUCUGGGUCUGGCUACGAAUUUGGUGAGGGUCUGCUCCUGGGUUCGGGUCUGAGUUCGGGUUUGGGUUUGGCUUGGAUUUGGAUCUGGUGUACUUCUGGGUCUAGGUUUGGGUCGGGUCUGGGCUUGGGCCUGGGUCUGAGUUUGGGUGUGGUCUAUGGCCUGUUCGUGUUUGGGGCUGGCCUGGGUCUGGCUAAGUCUGGGUCUGGGUCAGGAUCUGGGUCUAGUCUUGUUCUUGGUCUGGUUCGGGUCGGGCUCUAGGCCUGCCUAGCUUUGGUUCUAUUCCUACUGGUUCCAUUUCAGGAAUUAUGGUUUGCCAUACUGUGUUAUACAGAUUGAUUUUCACUUAGUUGUUACAAUGACACUUGAGGGGCAUCUAUAUAUAUAUCUGGUUUUAAUCCUUUGGCUUCAUGCAUUACAAAUAGCUGCGUCAUAGACUUUGGAUGAACUCAACUGAACAUGAUUUCAAUUUAUUUGUUUAUUUUUCUUUAAGUGCAUCCAUUCCUCUUAGCUGUUAAAUGACUUUUGAAUUGAAUUUGUUUGUUUCGUUAUUCACCGACCUGCAAUUUUCUGUGUGUAUUUAUAUACCAAUUUGUUUGCUUUUUUGGGGAUUACUGCUCUGGUUUGGUGUGAUUUUUAUUCGUUCUGGUUAAGGAAUUAGGGUUGAUAAUGUGUAAGGGAGGAAAAUUGGAUAGAACUUAGAAGUGGUUAAUGUAGGAGCUUACAGCAUAUUUGCAGUAAUUUUUUUGUGGAAAAAGAAUACUUACUUUUAAAGUUUCUGCUAAUGCUAUUGGAAUCUCAUCCAUUUCCUCUCCAAGUGUGUGGCUCUACUGCCUCUAUAUGUUGGGAACCGAAGUUAAUCAUGCUGCUGUUGUUGUCGCAUGUCUAGCUUUGCUGCCGAUAGCCACACUGAUUAAUGAACUAUCGACUGACAAGCAGCAGCCACUAGUUGGUAGCGGCGUACUAUGAGUAUUGCUGUGAAAUUCACACGGUAACUAAUCGCACCUCCAAUCUCGCUGUGAGAUCAAAUAUCUGGUACUGCUCUGUUUUUCUCUAGGUUAAUUUUGGAUUUACGUUGGGGAUUGAUUGAGGUAAGUUCUGUUGGAAUUGAAUUUGUUUGUUUCGUUAUUCACCGACCUACAAGGUAUACAGGGAUAAUAAUGUGGACAGUUUAUCUGUAAGGGAGGAAACUUGAAUGGAACUUAGAGUGGUUAAUGUAAGAGCUUACAUCACACACUUGCAGUUACUUUUGUCGCAUGUCCAGCUUUGCUGUCUGUUCUCUCUCUAUCUCUCAAGGAUUGAAGCUUGUGUGUGUUACUGUAUGUGUUGGUUUUUGUUUUUGUUAUUGUUUGUAUUUUUUGCAUAUAUAUUAUUUUAAUUUUACGUUUGUGUUUGUGUAUGUGUUUGUUACUGUUUGUUAUUGUUAUUGUUUGUGUUUUUAUUUUUUUUGUAAUUGUUAUUGUUUGUGUUUGUUUUUUUUACUGUUUGUGUAUUUGUUUUUGUAAUUGUCUAUCUUUGUGCUUUUGCUUUUUUGUUAAUGUUUGUGUUUGUGCUUGUGCUUGUAUUUGUGUUUUUGUUGUUUGUUAUUAUUUCUGACUGUUAUUGUUUGUGUUUGUUUCUGCUUAUGUUAUUGUUUUUGUUUGUGUUUUGUGUUCGUAUUAUUGUUUUUCAUUUUUGUUUGUGCUCGUUCAGUAGGGAUUUGACAAGAUCUUUUGUAGUUUUAUAGGAAUUAAGGUGUUUGUUUUUAAAAAAUCAUUUUAAUUUCUUUAUUGACGAUUGAUUGUUUUUGCCUUUAAUUCCUUUGUAAUUUCCAUGGGUCCUUCUGAAGGUGUUAAUGCUUUAAAAGUAAUAUUUUGAUGAAACAAUGAACACAUUUUUACUUCAUUUCAUAAUUUUCACAAAACUUGUUUAAAAAAAUUCUAAACUAUCCUUUCACCGAUCUUUUCAAAACUAGCCUGGGCCGAGGUCUGAGUUUGGGUGAGGUCUAUGGCCUGUUUGUGUUUGGAUCUGGUCUGGGUCUGGUUAAGUUGGGGUCUAGUCUUGGUCUUGGUCUUGGUCUGGUUUGUAUCUAGGUCUGGGCCUGGGCCUGGGCCUGGGCCUGCCUAGCUUUGGUUCAUAGGGGCCUGCCUAUUGGUUCCAUUUCAGAAAAUAUAGUGUUCGCAGGGGCCUUUUGAAGGAGUUAAAUACUUAAGAGUUCUAUUUUGAUGAAACAAUGAACAUGUUUUUACUUUAAUUCAUAUUUUUGACAAAGCUUGUUUCAAAAAUUUUAAACUAUCGUUCACUGUUCCUUUUCAAAUUAUCCGUCGGUCUUUUCCAAACUAUUCGAUAUUUUUCUUAUCUUCUUUAUACGAGACAAAAUAACUCAUUUGUUCUCUGCAUACAAAAUUCUUGUAAAUCCUAUCUUUAAUCUUCAAUUUAUUAUUACUCAUCUUCUUCCAUUAUUCACUCGGGGGCUGUGGCUGUGUUGGGUUUGGUUUUGGGUCCGAGAUUAGGUCUGGUUUGAGAUUUGGGUCUGGAUCCAGGUCUGGCUUGAUUUAUAUCUGGGUCAGGGUCUGGUACGAAUUUGGUCUGUGUCUGCACCUAGGUUCGGGUCUGAGUUUGGGUCUGGAUCUGGUUUACUUCUGGGUCAGGUCUGGGCCGAGGCCUGGGUCUUCGUUUGGGUGUGACUGUUUGGGUCUGGUCUGAGUCUGGUUAAGUCGGGGUCUGGAUCUGGGUCUAGUCUUGUUCUUGGUCUGGUUUGGGUCCGGGCCUGCCUAGCUUUCUUUUUAUGCCUAUUGGUCCCAUUUCAGAAAUUAUAAUUGUCACGUCGUGUUGGGUAUUUGUCCUGCAAAUUAAUUCACUGGGUUUUUAAAAUGACGUUUUGGUGGGGGACAUCUAUAUAUAUAUUUAUGUAUCUGUUUGUGAUCCCUUGGCUGCAUGCUUACAAAUAGCUGCGUCAUAGACUUUGGAUGAACUUCACUAAACAUGAUUCCAAUUUUUUUAUUUAUUCAAUUUUAUAUAUUUUUCUUUAUGUGCACCCAUUCCUUUAGUUGUUAAAUGAUAAUUGAAGUUGUUUGUUUCGUUAUUCACCAGCCUCCAAUUUUUCUGUGUGUGCUUAUUCACCUAUUUUUUUUAUUCUUUUUUUGGGGAUUAAUGCUCUGGUUUGGUUUGAUUUUUAUCCAUUCUGUUUUAGGAAUUAUGGAUGACAAUGUGGAAAAUUGCCUCUUUGGGUUUAUUGUUAUUUUUUGUGUUUUGGUUAUUGUCUAUGUUUGUGCUAUUGUUUGUUUGUUUGUGCAUGUGUUUUUUUAAUUUAUUUGUAUUUUUGUUUUUGUUGUUUGUUAUUCUUUCUUACGAUUGUUUGUGUUUUUGUGUUAUUGUUUUCAUUUUUGUUUGUGCUUGUUUCUGUUUUGGUUUUGGUUUUUGUGUUUGUGGUUCUGUUUGUUAUUGUUAUUGUUAAUGUUUGUGUUUGUAUUUGUGUUAUUAUUGUUAUUGUUUGCGUAAUUGUUUUGUUUUUGUUUUUUGCUUCUGUUGUUUUUGUGAUUACUAUUGUUUUUGUUUUGUGUUUGUAUGUGUUCUAUAUUUUUUAUUGUUAUUGUUAUUGUUAUUGCUUGUGUGUGUGUUUGUUUGUUAUUGUUUUUGUUUUUGUGUACGUUGUGUGUUUGUGUAUGUGUUUUAUUUUUGUAAUUGUUAUUGUUUGUGAAUUGUUAUUUUAUGGUUAUUGUUAGUGUUUGUGUUUGUUUUUGUUAUUGAUAGUCUACUUCUGAGAUUAAUUUUACUCAAGCUAGCAAGAAUUGCAUGAUUUGGUUUAGAUCAUCAAGAUUGCUUGUGAACUCAACUCACAUGUCAAACAAUAGCUAACUUAUUCUGAGCAUUGCUGCAUGUUUUUGCUUGAUUUUGAGUGAAUAGUGCUGUUGAUCUUUAUUCAACAAAGCAUGGGACCAAUUCCUUUGCUCCUUUAUUUGAUCAAGGAAGACCUGCUUUCCAAGUAUGAACUUUAAAUCAUUUAUUGACCUACUAGUUUAAUCAAGAUCGAUUGAUCAGGUUGUGUAUCUUUUCUCUAAUCAGUUGAUUUCUAUUUGUACUUUUAAAUCUUCACUUCUAACUCAGAUUUAUUCAACUUACACAUAUGAAUCUGUGAUAUGGAGCUUUCGUAUGUGCCAUGGUUGAAGGCAUUCAACUGUAGUUGCUGCUUGAAGACUGGACAUACGAUGGAUUGGAAUUCUUUAAACACAGAAAAUGGAAAGUAUUUGCUAUUAAAUCUCUCAAAUUCAUGCAUUCAAACGGUGCAUUUAUAUGUUCAUUCAUGCAUUAUUUUUAUUUUUGAAUUUUAUAACAAUUUUUUCUUUUCAUGUUUUACGUAGGACUGGUGUCUGAUCAAAAGAAAUUAGCAGAGGCAUUUGAUUGGACUUUCGGCUUGAGAGACUGCACAUCCAAUAGAAUGGAGUUGUUCAAACGCAUGAAAAAUCAGCAAGAAUAAAAAAAUUAAUUCACUCUGGGGCUGUGGUUGGGUCUGGAUCCGGUUCUGAUUCGAUUUGUCUGGAUCUGGUUUACAUCUCGGUCUGGGUCAGGCCUAGGCCUAGAUCUGGUUCAGUCAGUGUCUGGAUCUGGGUCUAGUCUUGUUCUUGGUCUGGGCCAGGGUUGAAGUCAUUCGAAAGACUGCACAUUCCAUGGAUUGGAAUUAUGUAAUGUAAACAUAUGGAUAAUUGGGAAGUAUUCGCUUUUUAAUCUCUCAAAAACUCAUAUGCUAUUGUUUUUAUUUUUGAAUUGUAUAAUAACAAAAUUUUCUUCUCAUGUUUUCUGUAGGAGAUGAGAUAGAUGCAAAGGAAUUUUAAACCAAUUGGGCUUCCACCAAUACAAAAGUGAGACUGAGAGAAAGAUAGAUAGAGAGAGAGAGGCAUCAAUCCAUCCAUCAAGUAAUCAUCUACAAUCGAUCCCUUUAACAAAGAUGCC